This 859-nucleotide ribosomal RNA is filed under the name Entoloma peristerinum. RNAcentral's name for it is "partial large subunit ribosomal RNA". It matches the Rfam family "Eukaryotic large subunit ribosomal RNA", at positions 75 to 906 of the family's 3401-position model. Lineage: Eukaryota; Fungi; Basidiomycota; Agaricomycetes; Agaricales; Entolomataceae. The record is from RNAcentral.
UUCCCUUAGUAACUGCGAGUGAAGUGGGAAAAGCUCAAAUUUAAAAUCUGGUAGUCUUUGACUGCCCGAAUUGUAAUCUAGAGAAGCAUUAUCCGUGCUGAACCCAUGUACAAGUCUCCUGGAAUGGAGCGUCACAGAGGGUGAGAAUCCCGUCUUUGACAUGGGGACAAAUCAGUGCUUUGUGAUAUGCUCUCAACGAGUCGAGUUGUUUGGGAAUGCAGCUCUAAAUGGGUGGUAAAUUCCAUCUAAAGCUAAAUAUUGGCGAGAGACCGAUAGCGAACAAGUACCGUGAGGGAAAGAUGAAAAGAACUUUGAAAAGAGAGUUAAACAGUACGUGAAAUUGUUGAAAGGGAAACGCUUAAAGUCAGUCGCAUUGUUCAAGGAUCAACCUUGCUUUUUUUGCUUGGUGUAUUUCUUGAUUCAAUGGGUCAGCAUCAAUUUUGACCAAUAGAAAAGGGCUCAAGGAACGUAGCAUCUUUUAAAGAUGUGUUAUAGCCUUUUGUCAUAUACAUUGGUUGGGAUUGAGGAACUCAGCAUGCCCAAGGGGGCCGGGUUUUAACCACGUCCAUGCUUAGGAUGCUGGCACAAUGGCUUUAAUCGACCCGUCUUGAAACACGGACCAAGGAGUCUAACAUGCCUGCAAGUGUUUGGGUGGUUAAAACCCAUGCGCGCAAUGAAAGUAAAAAUUGGGAUCUCUGUCAUGGAGAGCACCGAUGCCCGGACCAGACCUUUUGUGACGGAUCCGCGGUUGAGCAUGUAUGUUGGGACCCGAAAGAUGGUGAACUAUGCCUGAAUAGGGUGAAGCCAGAGGAAACUCUGGUGGAGGCUCGUAGCGAUUCUGACGUGCAAAUCGAUCGUC